Molecule: long non-coding RNA, 640 nt
Filed under: Malus domestica (apple)
Lineage: Eukaryota; Viridiplantae; Streptophyta; Magnoliopsida; Rosales; Rosaceae
Description: long non-coding RNA (MDOM_LNC004630)
Source: RNAcentral
GAUGGUUCGUGAUGUCUUGAUAUGCAUGCUAGGGAGUCGUAGUGUGGACCUCAGGUGAGUGGGUCUUUUCCUUUCUACUGAUAUCAUAUAUAUAUAUAUAUAUAUGAUUAACAAUUCCAUAAAUGUUUAUAAAUUGAUUAUUGCUUAUGAUUAUUGUGAAUGCUUUGAAAUACUAUUGCGAACUAUGAAUGUCUUGAUCCUGGUUUAGGGUACGUAGGCAGUCUAACGAGACGUUAGAUGCAACCAUAUAAUAAAUGAGAAUGAAUAAUCGAGACAAUAGCCUAGUUUGGGAAUGGGGCAUUACAAUUUAUGCAUUCUAAACCAUUUGUUUAUAUGUUUAUAUAUCUGGAAAUAUUAUGAUAUGUUGAAUUUUAGACUUACAUCCUCGUAUUUCCAUCUGUAUAUUCCUUGCACAUAAUUAUUGUGAACGCUCCGAAGUACAGGUGAACGCAGGACACACAAGUAAGUUCAGGUAAGUAUACGGUAAUAGUUGAAGUGAUAGGGUUAUGGUAUGACUACAUUUAUGUUUUAAGCAACUCCGACACUGUCGUACAUGUUGCAAUAGUUGGCAACUCCGGCAUUGUCGUACAGGUUGCUUAUGAAUCGUACAUGUUGUAUUAGAUGCAUUUAAAACUCAUAA